UGUGUGUGUGUGUGUGUGUGUGUGUGUGUGUGUGUGUGUGUGUGUGUCAGUGCACGCCCUCUGGUGGUUUCAGAGUGCUGAUCAGAGAGCUGAGGUCCGUCACAGAUCUCACUCCGACGCCCGGGUGGUGUCUGCAGUGCGGAGCUGCGUGGGACACCUGUCCUCUCAGGAGAAUAAACUCAUGUUCCCAUGCUCCUUCUCUCCAAUGAAGUGACUUCCUGUUCCUCAGCCAAUCACAGCGCAGCAGAGCGUCGUCAGAGUUUGAAUGUAAUAACAUCAGAAUAAAUAUAUAUUUUCGGUGGAGGUGUUAUGGGUCUGUCAGUCAGUGUGAGUGACAGCAGCCAAUCAGGUGGCAGAGAUGUGGGGUGGGUGGGGCUUGUGUUCUACUAACUGAUUAUUUCCUGAUGAUCAAACUCUAUUUAUAUAAAAACUGAAUAAUAAAUUAAAUGUGAACAUG
Notothenia coriiceps (black rockcod) is the source of this 457-nucleotide long non-coding RNA. RefSeq lists it as uncharacterized. The record is from RefSeq and is a predicted model, not a curated record. Lineage: Eukaryota; Metazoa; Chordata; Actinopteri; Perciformes; Nototheniidae. The transcript is spliced from 2 exons.